GACGAACGCUGGUGGCGUGCUUAACACAUGCAAGUCGAACGAAGUGGCGAACGGGUGAGUAAUACGUGGUUAACCUGCCCUCCUUUUUGGGAUAGGCCUUGGAAACGAGGUCUAAUACUUAAUAAAGGGGGAGGGGCUCGCGGCCGAUCAGCUUGUUGGUGGGGUGGUGGCCUACCAAGGCGGGGCCGGGGAGCCGGCCUGAGAGGGGGCCCGGCGACAUGGGGAGGGAGAUUCGGCCCAGACUCCGACGGGAGGCAGCAGUGGGGGAAAUUGUACAAUGGGCGGAAGCCUGAUGCAGCCACGCCGAGUGGGGGAUGAAGUCUUUCGGGUUGGAAACCUCGUUCGCUACCGAACGGGUAGGUGGAGAAGAAGCGCCGGCUAACUACGUGCCAGCAGCCGCGGUAAUAC
This 408-nucleotide ribosomal RNA is filed under the name uncultured bacterium. Its description in RNAcentral is "partial 16S ribosomal RNA". It matches the Rfam family "Bacterial small subunit ribosomal RNA", at positions 28 to 526 of the family's 1533-position model. The record is from RNAcentral.